Molecule: ribosomal RNA, 205 nt
Filed under: uncultured bacterium
Lineage: Bacteria
Description: partial 16S ribosomal RNA
Rfam family: Bacterial small subunit ribosomal RNA
Source: RNAcentral
AAUCAACGCUGGCGGCGUGCCUCAGACAUGCAAGUCGAACGCGAAAGUCCCCUUCGGGGACGGAGUAGAGUGGCGCACGGGUGAGUAACACGUGGGUAAGUUUACCUUCGGUGGGGAAGUAACAGUCGGAACGAACUGCUAAUAACCGCCAUGAUGCAGCGGCGACCACCAUGGUGACAGUUGUUAAAGUACGGGGGAGUCGCAA